Molecule: ribosomal RNA, 166 nt
Filed under: uncultured bacterium
Lineage: Bacteria
Description: partial 16S ribosomal RNA
Rfam family: Bacterial small subunit ribosomal RNA
Source: RNAcentral
CUAGUAAUCGCGGAUCAGAAUGCCGCGGUGAAUACGUUCCCGGGUCUUGUACACACCGCCCGUCACACCAUGGGAGUCGGAAAUGCCCGAAGUCUGUGACCUAACCGCAAGGGAGGAGCAGCCGAAGGCAGGUCGGAUGACUGGGGUGAAGUCGUAACAAGGUAUC